RNAcentral lists this long non-coding RNA (1354 nucleotides) under Sinocyclocheilus grahami. RNAcentral describes it as "lncRNA (ENSSGRG00000049719.1)". Lineage: Eukaryota; Metazoa; Chordata; Actinopteri; Cypriniformes; Cyprinidae. The record is from RNAcentral.
GGACUCUGUCUUCUUUGACUUGGAAAUCUUCUCUGGUUCAUUUCCUCUGUUGAGUCCAUCAAGGUCAGAAAUUGAAGUCUAAUUCUAAUCGAAAACAACACUGACACUGUUUUUUCAUGUUUAAUACUGUAAAGCUGUUUGGUUUAAAAAUAUAUAUUGUAUAAAGUGCUAUAUAAAUAAACAUGACGUGACUUUGUGCCGAACUGCAGAGCUCAUGCAAACGUAUCCAUGACUAUGUUCAGAUACUUUCUUAACUGCUGUUUUCUCACUGCUGUCAUUUUGUUGUUUAUUUUGUUAUUGAGAGUAAAGCGCAGAGCACAUAUUAGUGGUUCUUAGACUUUGCCAAACAAAUUCAUUACGAAAAAGCCAUGUUUUUUCCCAUCUUAUUGUGUUAUCUCUGUGUUCUUAGAGAUAGAGAUCCUGUUUGUUCCCCUUUCAAAGCAUCUAUCCUUUUAGCUGGUCAACUACAGUGGGACAAAUGAAGGGCAUCCAGUGGUCUGGCAGAGCUUUGAUCAGCACUGUUUCUUCCAGGAACAAUAUUGCUAUCUUGCUGUGGAUUCCUCAUAUUGAGUCCGUACUGCAACCCAUCCAACCAGAGAUUGACUCUUGAUGUUGAAUCAUGAUAUGUCAAAGAGUAUUGAUUCAGACACAUACAGCAAUUCCCCCUCCGCACUUCAAUCGCUGCCCGGGGGGCAAAAACAGAAGGAGACUCGUGAAGUAUAUCUUGACCUACUGCCAUCUCUUCACAAGAGUUCAUCAGUACAAUGCCUUACUCUUGGGCAAUCCAGAUGGGACAGGAAUGGGAGGGCACUACUCUGCACCUUAGGUUGUGAUAAUUGAAGCGACAGCAGGGGCCUCGGGAAUGUUGCUUGACACCUGCAUAGUUUCAAGAGGGAUGUAAUUUGCCUUUGAACAUGGCAGGCGGAACAUCAUUUGCACAAGUCAGCCGUGAUGCCAAGAGCCUCUUACCUUUUCUUCCUCAGUGGAUUAGUGGUUUUAAUUAACCCCCUGGCACCCUUUGCGUCCCUACCACAUGGGCAGGAAGGUUUUACAGACCUAACGUAUGCCACAAUGCCGCUCCAGCAUAACAGCUUGUAGAGGAAGCUACUAUGAAACUGUAGCUUAUAAAACUACAAGGUACUGAUCAUUUAAAGUAGAUCAAGCUAUACUUUAAAAAAAAUUAAGUUAGCAACAAUGUGUUUCUAACAAAAAGGGCUAACAAAAACUGUUUUCAUUUCGAUAAGAAAUGUUUCUUGACCACCAAAUCAGCAUACUAGAAUGAUUUCUGAAGGAUCACGUGACACUGAAGACUUGAGUAAUGACUGUUGAAAAUCCAGCUUUGCUUUCACAGGAA